AUGAUUGUAAGGUGUACAUGUCCAGCGGGCAGGUGUCAUCUGACCUUGACCUCAUUUUCAUGGUUCAGUGGUUAUAGUUAAGGUUUUGUGUUUUGGUCUGUUUUUCUUAUACUGUAUGCCAUAGGUCUACUUUAUUUGGUGUAUGGAAUGAUUGUAAGGUGUACAUGUCUAGCGGGCAGGUGUCAUCUGACCUUGACCUCAUUUUCAUGGUUCAGUGGUCAAAGUUAAGUUUUUGAGUUUUGGUCUUUUUUUCUAAUACUAUAUGCAAUAGUUCAACUAUAUUUGGUAUGUGUGUACCUUGCAAGGUCCUCAUGCCCGUCAGACAGUUUUCACUUGACCUUGACCUCAUUUUAUGGAUCAGUGAACAAGGUUAAGUUUUGGUGGUCAAGUCCAUAUCUCAGAUACUAUAAGCAAUAGGUCUUGUAUAUUCGGUGUAUGGAAGGACUGUAAGGUGUACAUGUCCAACUGGAAGGUGUCAUCUGACCUUGACCUCAUUUUCAUGGUUCAGUGGUUAUAGUUAAGUUUUUGUGUUUUGGUCUGUUUUUCUUAUACUGUAUGCCAUAGGUCUACUAUAUUUGGUGUAUGGAAUGAUUGUAAGGUGUACAUGUCUAGCGGGCAGGUGUCAUCUGACCAUGACCUCAUUUUCAUGGUUCAGUGGUCAAAGUUAAGUUUUUUGAGUUUUGGUCUUUUUUUCUAAUACUAUAUGCAAUAGUUCAACUAUAUUUGGUGUAUGGAAAUAUUUUAUGAUCUAUUUGGCAGUCACGCAGGUUUUAUUUGACCUUGACCUCAUUUUCAAGGUUCAUUGCUCAGUGUUAAGUUUUUGUGUUUUGGUCUGUUUUUCUUAAACUAUAAGCAAUAGGUCAACUAUAUUUGUUGUAUGGAAGAAUUGUUAGCUGUACAUGCCUGCCUAGCAUGGUUCAUCUGACCUUGACCUCAUUUUCAUGGUUCAUUGGUCAAUGUUUAGUUUACUUGGUUAAUGUUAAGUUUAUGUGACAGUUGUAAUAAAGCUUUAUAUUUAGGACUAUCAACAUAAUAUCAAUGAUUAGUAAAGAAGGCGAGACAUUUCAGCGUGUGCACUCUUGUUC
Mytilus californianus (California mussel) is the source of this 1085-nucleotide long non-coding RNA. RefSeq lists it as uncharacterized. The transcript has 2 exons. The record is from RefSeq and is a predicted model, not a curated record. NCBI's taxonomy places the organism in Eukaryota, Metazoa, Mollusca, Bivalvia, Mytilida, Mytilidae.